Molecule: long non-coding RNA, 2942 nt
Organism: Eleginops maclovinus (Patagonian blennie)
Lineage: Eukaryota; Metazoa; Chordata; Actinopteri; Perciformes; Eleginopidae
Exons: 2
Source: RefSeq, a predicted model, not a curated record
CGUGGGUAGACGGUUUGCGCGUAGAUGUAUAUUCUAUCUUACUUCUCCGAUUAAGUUUUAAUACUUAAAAACGUAAAACAUCUACUGCGCGUGAACAAAAAACAAAAUGACAUCAAACUAAAGGCAGUCUUCCGGAGCUGUGCGUUACGGGAAUGAAAACGUUCUUUUCUUCAUCUUAACAUCAAUUUAAAAAUGCAGUUGCAAAUGUCAGGACUACAGUGAAGAAGAUACUAUAAGUCCAUACUAUAAGGAUGUAGCGCCUCAGUUAGAGAGAGAACAAGCUCUUACGGUGUGGAUGGAUUUGAAUAAAUUCGUGAAACAUCAGUCCAAGAGUCCGAUCAUCGUCUUUCUGGGGAUGCUACAUCCCCUGAAUAUAAUGUACCCUAUUGUUGAAUUACCGUUUGGACUGGACGAUGCCCAGAGAGCAAUAAAAUGUGCCAAAGCGAAGACAGUAAACAACAGGAAUUUAACUGGCCUGGAGCUUUGCCACUGACUUCACUUGGAAAUAAUCUCCCACAGUCUGUAUCCUGCCUCCUUCUCUGAGCCGGAAUGCACUCAUGUUAGUUUAGACACGCCCAGACACAGCAGGCUGCAGGAACAACACAUCCUCUGAAGUGGACACUAUGUCCAGAUGCACUCUCUCUCAGGGCAGAAUUUAAAACGGUUAUAGUGAAUACUUCUAUAUAAACGGGGUUGUUUAAGGUGAUGAAUUCAGAUCUUAUCACCCAGCAAUGCAGUUUCCCUCUGCUCUAUGUAACUAUUUCUGUUUUUGUUUUUUAUAGCUUUAUUUUGUUAGCUCCCAUAGCGUUGUGUAUGGCUAUCUAAGGCUAAGAAAAAGCUCUGAUAAACACAGUACAUUUCCUGCCCAGCUUCAAACACCUGAAAGCAGUUUACCAGCUGGUAAAAUACAGGCAAGGCGAAGCAAGGCAAGGCAAGAUUAUUUAUACAGCAUAUUUCAACAACCAAGCAAUUGAAAGUGUUUUACAAAAAACACAAUACCUAGUACAUAAGAAACACAUCAUGAAUUGACAUUUAAACAGAAAUAGUGGAACAUUUAGCAGCUAUAACGUAAUAUUCUUCUCGGAUGAGUCCAAACACAGAGCUCAAACAGUUAUAUUUGUUAGAUGGACACAAAUAUGUCUCUAAAAAAAAUGGUAUUGCUCAAUAAGUGCUUGGUGUGUAAAUUAGAAGAUUGAUAAAAGUCUCAUGUGUUCAGUAAUCUUUUAUCUCAUGAAGUUACAGCAAACUCUUGGUGAUGAAAGGACGACAGGAAGGAUAUAGCAUACUAAUCAGUGUGCUUAGGGUUGGUUUUGUUUCCUAUAUUUGGGCUUGCGAGGCUGACAGUUUCUCCAUAUUUACAGUCUGUAUGCUAAGUUAAGUUAAGCAGCCACUGGCCCCCAGCUUCACAUUUAACAGACCCAAAAAAGUGUAUCGAUCUCCUGAUUUCUUAGUAAGUGAAUGAACUGUGUAAAAAUGGCAUACUAAACUGCGUGUAUAAAAAAAAAACGUAUAUCUGGACAAGCAUAUAAUAAUCAUAUCUCUUUUUAUUGUUUAGUUUGCGUUACAGAACUAUGCUGUUUGAAAGAUGAGAAACAGAUCAUUGUGACAAAUAUUUUUGUCAGGAAAUGGGUUUAGUCUGUCUGUCUGUGAGCUCAGAUAUCAAGUCCCUGUGGAUACAAAGCUCAGGAUGAAUGAGUCAGAGGAAUCCCACCCCAUCCUGCCGCGUCAUUGGCCUCUGUCACUAACUCAGAGAAAGUACACAGCACAUUUCUCUUCAUUUCUAAGAAAAACUCUUUCUAUGUACCAGAAUUUCUCUCAUGUAUUAUCCUUACUUCAAGGUAAAUGCUAACACGACUUCAGCUUUUGUUUAUCUUGAUCUGUACCAGAAGCAGUGGGAACUCUCUUGCCAUUUGCAAAAAUGUAAAUAGUUAUCAUGUGUGUUUUCGUGGAAAAAGAGGCCAUUAUCUACAGAACAAUCUAGUAUAAGCAAGUAAACAAAUAGUUUAAAAAAGGAAAAAGACGCCACAGCUGGUUUCUGUUUAAAAUGUUGAUCACUAUGAUGCAUAAAUUCCACAUAAAUGUUUUCUUGUAUUCAAAACAGUCGAACAGUAUGUGUUCUAAAAAAGCCUUUUUCUGUAAUGUAAUAUUUAUCUGAUUUGAAUUUGGCUGCCAAAAGGAAGCACUUCAGCAUCUCCAGGGAUUCUCCUCAGACAUGCUAUACUCCUUCGUCCUUUGAAAGUGUGUGGGUGGAUGUUUGGAUCUCACUGAAACGUUUUCAGUUGACUUCAGCUCCGCAUUCUGAUACUCCAAAACAACACUGACAGUCACAUCAUGAAAAUCACAUCCAUACAUGUAAGCUACAUACUACUCUCCUGGUGUGCGUCCAAAUCAGUUCUAGCUAGCUUUCCAUUUUCAAAAUGAUGUCUUUUCAUGUGGCGUAAACAUGAGUUUUAAUACAAAACAAUUCCUAUACCUUAUACAUAUAACAGUAAAGUGUAAUUCAACCAAGACGAACCCAACUACUCGCAUGAGGUGGAGAGUCACUGAUGCCCCCAACAACACCACUAACACCUCUGCAAUGUAUAAAAUAAUACAUCUAAAUCUACAGGAACAUUGCAGAAACACACUCCAGCAUGGGCCUCUCUUCAUUCACUUUAAGUGGAGUUUAUUGUAUUAUAAAAGUUUGGUAUAAAUCUAUAAUGUACUAAAUAGUUUAAAGUAUAUUUUGGAAUUAAAUAGUUCAAUUGUAAGUCUUUGUUUUGCCGAGCAUUGUUUGUAUUGGCAUUGAAUGUUCUCAGAUCAUGGCACCACCAGACACUAAAGCAAAGUCCUUGUAUGUGUAAUGUACCGCCAAUACAUCUGAUUGUGAUUUAAGGUGAAGACAGAGCCUUUGGAAAUGUCUAAAUCAUCCAAUAAAAAAAUCACUUGGUUGCUCUUCCAAA